RNAcentral lists this ribosomal RNA (468 nucleotides) under uncultured bacterium. RNAcentral's name for it is "partial 16S ribosomal RNA". It matches the Rfam family "Bacterial small subunit ribosomal RNA", at positions 28 to 507 of the family's 1533-position model. The record is from RNAcentral.
GACGAACGCUGGCGGCGUGCUUAACACAUGCAAGUCGAACGGAAAGGCCCUGCUUUUGUGGGGUGCUCGAGUGGCGAACGGGUGAGUAACCCGUGAGUAACCUGCCCUCGACUUUGGGAUAACUUCCGGAAACUGGGGCUAAUACCGGAUAGGAGCUCCUGCUGCAUGGUGGGGGUUGGAAAGUUUCGGCGGUUGGGGAUGGACUCGCGGCUUAUCAGCUUGUUGGUGGGGUAGUGGCUUACCAAGGCUUUGACGGGUAGCCGGCCUGAGAGGGUGACCGGCCACAUUGGGACUGAGAUACGGCCCAGACUCCUACGGGAGGCAGCAGUGGGGAAUAUUGCACAAUGGGCGGAAGCCUGAUGCAGCAACGCCGCGUGCGGGAUGACGGCCUUCGGGUUGUAAACCGCUUUCGCCUGUGACGAAGCGUGAGUGACGGUAAUGGGUAAAGAAGCACCGGCUAACUACGUG